RNAcentral lists this ribosomal RNA (325 nucleotides) under uncultured Rhodosporidium. RNAcentral describes it as "eukaryotic LSU rRNA". The stretch from base 1 to 63 matches the Rfam family "5.8S ribosomal RNA", at positions 92 to 154 of the family's 154-position model. The record is from RNAcentral. Lineage: Eukaryota; Fungi; Basidiomycota; Microbotryomycetes; Sporidiobolales.
UCGAAUCUUUGAACGCACCUUGCGCUCCAUGGUAUUCCGUGGAGCAUGCCUGUUUGAGUGUCAUGAAUACUUCAACCCUCCUCUUUUCUAGUGAAAGAGAAGGUGCUUGGUUUCUGAGCGUUUUGCUGGCCUCACGGUCGAGCUCGCUCGUAAUGCAUUAGCAUCCGCAAUCGAACUUCGGAUUGACUUGGCGUAAUAGACUAUUCGCUGAGGAAUUCUAAUCUUCGGAUUAGAGCCGGGUUAGGUUAAAGGAAGCUUCUAAUCCUAAUGUCUAUAUUUUAAGAUUAGAUCUCAAAUCAGGUAGGACUACCCGCUGAACUUAAGC